CCCAGUUCGGAUUGCAGGCUGCAACCCGCCUGCAUGAAGUUGGAAUCGCUAGUAAUCGCGGAUCAGCAUGCCGCGGUGAAUACGUUCCCGGGCCUUGUACACACCGCCCGUCACACCAUGAGAGUCGGGGACACCCGAAGUCCGUAGUCUAACCGCAAGGGGACGCGGCCGAAGGUGGAUUCGAUAAUUGGGGUGAAGUCGUAACAAGGUAAC
Molecule: ribosomal RNA, 213 nt
Filed under: uncultured bacterium
Lineage: Bacteria
Description: partial 16S ribosomal RNA
Rfam family: Bacterial small subunit ribosomal RNA
Source: RNAcentral